Molecule: long non-coding RNA, 541 nt
Filed under: Fukomys damarensis (Damara mole-rat)
Lineage: Eukaryota; Metazoa; Chordata; Mammalia; Rodentia; Bathyergidae
Description: lncRNA (ENSFDAG00000022380.1)
Source: RNAcentral
AGCAGCUACAGGAGCGACUCUGGAAUGUGUUGUGAAAGCAGUGGAGAGAAGGGAAUACAUCCAUAAAAAAACAGACAGUUUGGGUGCAGAGAAGUGCCAGUCUUCAAUGGAGGCGUACAGCCUGCUCUUCUGCUCUGCCUGCAGGGGUGGCUGUGCACAGAGCCAUCCAAUUUGGAAGCAAAGGAAAGCUACAUCCAAAAAUUAGUACAAUCUUGAAAUGUGCUUCUGGUCAAAGGUUUAGCACCAAUCACGUUCUAAAUCCAAUAUCAAAUUAUAAAGGGGGAGAGAAAGGAACACAAGGGCCAACAUGGAGGUAAGCUCAAUUCAAUAUGAGAUCCCUGUUUCAUAAACAACCUCAUCUGGAAUUGAUUCAAACCCCAGCUACUGGCCUGAAGUAGCCUUGGGUAAUAAUGAAUACAGACACACAACCAACAGGGUGGAAAGUUUGCUGGCCCAGGGAAAAUAAAUCUGGGUUCUCAUCCUGAAUAUUUAUUAAAUGGAAUAAUGAUUAGCAUCAACGCGACCAAUGACACAACACUUC